UGUAAAUCUAUACCUUUUUCUGUGUGUGU
RNAcentral lists this non-coding RNA (29 nucleotides) under Mus musculus (house mouse). The record is from RNAcentral. Lineage: Eukaryota; Metazoa; Chordata; Mammalia; Rodentia; Muridae.